RNAcentral lists this transfer RNA (95 nucleotides) under Streptomyces thermoviolaceus subsp. apingens. Its description in RNAcentral is "tRNA-Arg". Lineage: Bacteria; Bacillati; Actinomycetota; Actinomycetes; Kitasatosporales; Streptomycetaceae. The record is from RNAcentral. RNAcentral also lists the same sequence under 1 other name.
GGUCCGGCGAGAGGCCGGGCGCGGCGGCGCUCCGGUCGCUGCGAGGGAAGCGGGGCCGGUGCCGUACGACGGUCCCGGCCCCGCCCCGGCUCACC